UUGGAUCAGGCCAGCAUCGAUUGUUUGGAGGAGGUGGUUCUUUCUGGGAAGCAGAGACUUGUAUUUUGGUCCCGGCCACCACAGCUCUGUUGGAUCAAUCUCUUCUUCGUAUCAGUGAUCGUCUCCGGUGAUUGAAGGGUGCAGAGAGGAUGCGAUGUGCUUAUUUUAGAUAUUGGAUUGGGAAGUGCAGAGAAUCAAGCAAGGGUCAAGGAGUUGCUUCAUGUGGAGGAAUCAAAACUAGAGGAGGAUGAGGGUAAGUGUUUUUACUCAUAAUAUUAUUUUAGUUUAUGUUCAGAUCAGUUGGCACUCGAUUCUGUGCUUUAGGAAAUACCACUCCAUCAGUGAGAUGGGUUCGAGAUGAUAAAUAUGAUUGCAUCCGAUUAAAGAAUUGCAAGGUGAGCUAUAUUCACUGUGUAUCCCCCCUUCAGAGUACAUAUGUAUCUGUAUAGUAAUUAAUUUCAAUAUAGGCACAUCAAAUUACCUUAAUUGUUUCUGGACAUAGACUUAAUCCUUUGGAUUACUUUAUUUUAAUUGGUAGAGUAUUUGCCACUACCUUUCUAUUAUUCAUUCUUUUGCUUUGCAGGUUGUGACAAAAAUUGAUUGGCAUCGGAAAGGAGACUAUUUCACUACUGUCGUUCCUAGUGAUAUCCUAAUUAUGAAUUUUAGUUGUACUUAUUUUUAGUCAUUCCUAGUGCCUAUUUUAUAUCUCAGUUUUGUUUCUUUCUUUUUUCUAAUACACACUGACAAAUUGGAAAUAUAUAAAAAUCAUGACAUUAUACCUAGUUACCUAGCCUUUGAGGCUGGAAUCAGGAUGAAACCUAAAGUGCCCUGAAAAGUUUAGGCAUACCAAAUUCUCUCAGUUUAAUGACAGAGGUGUUUUAGAUUGUAAAUUUCAUCCGAGGCAGCCAUGGCUAUUCACAGCUGGAGCAGAUUCUGUCAUUAAACUGUAUUGCCACUAAUGAUAGAUUCUCCAGGAAACUUUGAAGAAUCUCCUCGAGUCAAGAUACGUUGUGAUUGGCACGGCAAGUGUUCUAAAAUGAAGCCAAAGAAAAUGGGGGAGAAAAUAAGGUUCGGCUUGAGGAAUUUAUGCAAUAAAGCAGUUUUAUAUUUGAUUCCUUCUUUAAUUAUAUUGCGUGUGUUCCUAAGCUGCAACCUAUUAAUAAUUUUAGUUUUAUAAUGUUCUUUGCCACUACCUUUCUAUUAUUCAUUCUUUUGCUUUGCAGGUUGUGACAAAAAUUGAUUGGCAUCGGAAAGGAGACUAUUUCACUACUGUCAUUCCUAGUGAUAUCCUAAUUAUGAAUUUUAGUUGUACUUAUUUUUAGUCAUUCCUAGUGCCUAUUUUAUUCCUAGUCACCUUAUUUCAAUGACAAGAACAAGGGUUCUCAUGGCCAAUAUGUGUCUAUUAAUGUGAUUUUCA
This is a long non-coding RNA of Zingiber officinale, 1417 nucleotides long. RefSeq lists it as uncharacterized. The record is from RefSeq and is a predicted model, not a curated record. NCBI's taxonomy places the organism in Eukaryota, Viridiplantae, Streptophyta, Magnoliopsida, Zingiberales, Zingiberaceae. The transcript has 5 exons.